GCACCAGAAAAAGAACAUAAUCAGUUGCUAGAUGUACCUGAUAAGGCACUUUUAAGAACCACCAGGAAACAAAAAGAUUUCACCAAUUAAUCAGGAUACAAAGGCACUUUUAACUUUUAAGGCUUGAUCUAGUUGGUUGCUUAGGGCCAUCCAUAAUACCAAAAGCUUCAAGAAUUAAGAGCUCUGCAUUUUAAACUUUCUCAACUUUAAGCCUACUUUUUAACAGGCACCUGAAAUUUUAAGCGAUAUGACAAACAAUUAACAAAUGAGCUUAAUUACUGUUACUGAUACACAUUUUAUAUGAUUAACGGUACAAUCAAAUAACCCCAAAUGCAACAAAAAUAUAAUAAAAUUGUCCUUUGGCACACCAUCUCAGAGUAUGCUGAUGAAUAACAUACCAGAGCUGCCUAUCAAAAAAAAAAAAAAUUACGCAUAGCGAGUUUCAGAGUGGAUCUUUUUUUCCUAAGCCAUUAGAAAACAGUUACUGCCCUAAAGAAAGUAAAGCACGA
This is a long non-coding RNA of Rhododendron vialii, 509 nucleotides long. RefSeq lists it as uncharacterized. The record is from RefSeq and is a predicted model, not a curated record. The transcript has 2 exons. NCBI's taxonomy places the organism in Eukaryota, Viridiplantae, Streptophyta, Magnoliopsida, Ericales, Ericaceae.